UUGGAGGGCAAGUCUGGUGCCAGCAGCCGCGGUAAUUCCAGCUCCAAUAGCGUAUAUUAAAGUUGUUGCAGUUAAAAAGCUCGUAGUUGAAUUUCGAGAUCAGUACGCUGGUCGUGCCUUUGGUAUGCACUGGUGUCACUGGUUUCUCCCUUCUGAAGAACUGUCAUGCCAUUCAGUUGGUGUGGCGGGGAAUCAGGACUGUUACUUUGAAAAAAUUAGAGUGUUUAAAGCAGGCUCGCGCUUGAAUACAUUAGCAUGGAAUGAUGAAAUAGGACGUUUGACCCUAUUUUGUUGGUUUCUAGGAUCGACGUAAUGAUUAAUAGGGAUAGUUGGGGGCAUUAGUAUUCAAUUGUCAGAGGUGAAAUUCUUGGAUUUAUUGAAGACUAACUACUGCGAAAGCAUUUGCCAAGGAUGUUUUCAUUAAUCAAGAACGAAAGUUAGGGGAUCGAAGACGAUCAGAUACCGUCGUAGUCUUAACCAUAAACUAUGCCGACUAGGGAUCGGAUGAUGUUAAUUUUUUAAUGACUCAUUCGGCGCCUUACGGGAAAC
This 549-nucleotide ribosomal RNA is filed under the name uncultured Glomus. RNAcentral's name for it is "SSU rRNA". It matches the Rfam family "Eukaryotic small subunit ribosomal RNA", at positions 548 to 1098 of the family's 1831-position model. The record is from RNAcentral. Lineage: Eukaryota; Fungi; Glomeromycota; Glomeromycetes; Glomerales; Glomeraceae.